UUGAACGCUGGCGGCAGGCCUAACACAUGCACGUCGCACGGUAACAGGAAGAAGCUUGCUUCUUUGCUGACGAGUGGCGGACGGGUGAGUAAUGUCUGGGAAACUGCCUGAUGGAGGGGGAUAACUACUGGAAACGGUAGCUAAUACCGCAUAACGUCGCAAGACCAAAGAGGGGGACCUUCGGGCCUCUUGCCAUCGGAUGUGCCCAGAUGGGAUUAGCUAGUAGGUGGGGUAACGGCUCACCUAGGCGACGAUCCCUAGCUGGUCUGAGAGGAUGACCAGCCACACUGGAACUGAGACACGGUCCAGACUCCUACGGGAGGCAGCAGUGGGGAAUAUUGCACAAUGGGCGCAAGCCUGAUGCAGCCAUGCCGCGUGUAUGAAGAAGGCCUUCGGGUUGUAAAGUACUUUCAGCGGGGAGGAAGGGAGUAAAGUUAAUACCUUUGCUCAUUGACGUUACCCGCAGAAGAAGCACCGGCUAACUCCGUG
Molecule: ribosomal RNA, 489 nt
Filed under: uncultured bacterium
Lineage: Bacteria
Description: partial 16S ribosomal RNA
Rfam family: Bacterial small subunit ribosomal RNA
Source: RNAcentral